RNAcentral lists this ribosomal RNA (253 nucleotides) under uncultured bacterium. Its description in RNAcentral is "partial 16S ribosomal RNA". It matches the Rfam family "Bacterial small subunit ribosomal RNA", at positions 524 to 776 of the family's 1533-position model. The record is from RNAcentral.
CACGUAGGGCGCAAGCGUUGUCCGGAAUUAUUGGGCGUAAAGAGCUCGUAGGUGGUUUGUUACGUCUGCUGUGAAAACCUAGGGCUUAACCCUGGGCUUGCAGUGGAUACGGGCAGACUAGAGGUAGGUAGGGGAGAAUGGAAUUCCUGGUGUAGCGGUGAAAUGCGCAGAUAUCAGGAGGAACACCGGUGGCGAAGGCGGAUCUCUGGGCCGAUACUGACGCUGAGGAGCGAAAGCGUGGGGAGCGAACAGG